AUUCCAGCUCCAAUAGCGUAUAUUAAAGUUGUUGCAGUUAAAAAGCUCGUAGUUGGAUUCCUGGUCAGAGCGGCCGGUCUGGUCCGAACGGACUAGUACUUUGAGCUGUCUUUAACCUUCCUUUAGGAGAAUCUGUGUGGCCAUUCAUUUGGUUGUGCAGGGGACCCUAAUCGUUUACUGUGAAAAAAUUAGAGUGUUUAAAGCAGGCAUUUGCUGUGAAUACAUUAGCAUGGAAUAAUAAGAUAGGACUUUGGUGCUAUUUGUUGGUUUGCACACCAAGGUAAUGAUUAACAGGGACAGUUGGGGGUAUUCGUAUUUAAGUGUCAGAGGUGAAAUUCAUGGAUUUCUGAAAGACGAACUACUGCGAAAGCAUUUACCAAGGAUGUUUUCAUUA
RNAcentral lists this ribosomal RNA (394 nucleotides) under Labyrinthulomycetes sp. RNAcentral's name for it is "partial small subunit ribosomal RNA". It matches the Rfam family "Eukaryotic small subunit ribosomal RNA", at positions 582 to 975 of the family's 1831-position model. Lineage: Eukaryota; Bigyra. The record is from RNAcentral.